UUGCAAUGAUGACUCCUUAGGACACCUUUGGAUUUCCCAUGAAAAGAAUAUUCAAUGCUGAGCAAC
This is a small nucleolar RNA of Lampris incognitus (smalleye Pacific opah), 66 nucleotides long. RefSeq annotates it as small nucleolar RNA SNORD58. The transcript has a single exon. The record is from RefSeq and is a predicted model, not a curated record. NCBI's taxonomy places the organism in Eukaryota, Metazoa, Chordata, Actinopteri, Lampriformes, Lampridae.